ACUGUUGCCCCGAGCCGUGAGGCUCGAGCACUCUGUUCAGCUGCCCGCUUAAACGGGGAGGAAGGUGGGGACGACGUCAAGUCAGUAUGGCCCUUACGGCCAGGGCUGCACACGUACUACAAUGCCCAGUACAGAACGAUCCAAGACCGCGAGGUGGAGGAAAUCACUAAAACUGGGCCCAGUUCAGAUUGAAGUCUGCAACUCGACUUCAUGAAGCCGGAAUCGCUAGUAAUGGCGUAUCAGCUACGACGCCGUGAAUACGUUCCCGGGCCUUGUACACACCGCCCGUCACAUCAUGGAAGUCGCUUGUAGCCGAAGCCGGCGCGCUAACCGCAAGGAGGCAGCCGCCUACGCUAUGAGUGGUAACUGGGAUGAAGUCGUAACAAGGUAAC
Molecule: ribosomal RNA, 392 nt
Filed under: uncultured Verrucomicrobiota bacterium
Lineage: Bacteria; Pseudomonadati; Verrucomicrobiota
Description: bacterial SSU rRNA
Rfam family: Bacterial small subunit ribosomal RNA
Source: RNAcentral